RNAcentral lists this transfer RNA (72 nucleotides) under Ornithorhynchus anatinus (platypus). It matches the Rfam family "tRNA". Rfam says of the family: Transfer RNA (tRNA) molecules are approximately 80 nucleotides in length. Their secondary structure includes four short double-helical elements and three loops (D, anti-codon, and T loops). The record is from Rfam by way of RNAcentral. Lineage: Eukaryota; Metazoa; Chordata; Mammalia; Monotremata; Ornithorhynchidae.
AGCAGUGUGACCCAGUGGAAAGGGUAUGGAUCUGGAAGUCAGAGGACCUGGGUUCUAAUCCUAGCUCUGCCA